This 453-nucleotide ribosomal RNA is filed under the name uncultured Porphyromonadaceae bacterium. RNAcentral's name for it is "partial 16S ribosomal RNA". It matches the Rfam family "Bacterial small subunit ribosomal RNA", at positions 341 to 792 of the family's 1533-position model. Lineage: Bacteria; Pseudomonadati; Bacteroidota; Bacteroidia; Bacteroidales; Porphyromonadaceae. The record is from RNAcentral.
ACGGAAGGCAGCAGUGAGGAAUAUUGGUCAAUGGGCGGAAGCCUGAACCAGCCAAGUCGCGUGAAGGAUGAAGGUAUUAUGUAUUGUAAACUUCUUUAGCAGUGGAGUAAUAAGGAGGUCGAGACCUCUGAUGCAAGUACACUGAAAAUAAGGAUCGGCUAACUCCGUGCCAGCAGCCGCGGUAAUACGGAGGAUCCGAGCGUUAUCCGGAUUUAUUGGGUUUAAAGGGUGCGCAGGCGGCCUUGUAAGUCAGCGGUUAAAUCGUGGAGCUCAACUCCAUCCCGCCGUUGAUACUGCAGGGCUUGAUUGCGGUCGAGGUUGGCGGAAUUCGUCGUGUAGCGGUGAAAUGCAUAGAUAUGACGAAGAACCCCGAUUGCGUAGGCAGCUUACCAAGCCGACAAUGACGCUCAUGCACGAAAGUGCGGGGAUCGAACAGGAUUAGAUACCCUGGUA